UGGGGAAUUUUGCACAAUGGGGGAAACCCUGAUGCAGCGACGCCGCGUGAUUUAGAAGGCCUUCGGGUUGUAAAAAUCUUUUCUAUGGGAAGAAAAUGACAGUACCAUAGGAAUAAGGACCGGCUAAUUACGUGCCAGCAGCCGCGGUAAUACGUAAGGUCCGAGCGUUGUCCGGAAUCAUUGGGCGUAAAGGGUACGUAGGCGGGUAAGCAAGUUAGAAGUGAAAUCCUAUAGCUCAACUAUAGUAAGCUUUUAAAACUGCUCAUCUUGGGGUAUGGAAGGGAAAGUGGAAUUCCUAGUGUAACGGUGAAAUGCGCAGAUAUUAGGAGGAAUACCGGUGGCGAAGGCGACUUUCUGGCCAUAACCUGACGCUGAGGUACGAAAGCGUGGGUAGCAAACAGG
Molecule: ribosomal RNA, 402 nt
Filed under: bacterium
Lineage: Bacteria
Description: partial 16S ribosomal RNA
Rfam family: Bacterial small subunit ribosomal RNA
Source: RNAcentral